RNAcentral lists this ribosomal RNA (440 nucleotides) under uncultured bacterium. Its description in RNAcentral is "partial 16S ribosomal RNA". It matches the Rfam family "Bacterial small subunit ribosomal RNA", at positions 338 to 795 of the family's 1533-position model. The record is from RNAcentral.
CCUACGGGGGGCAGCAGUGGGGAAUAUUGCACAAUGGGGGAAACCCUGAUGCAGCGACGUCGCGUGAAGGAAGAAGUAUGUCGGUAUGUAAACUUCUAUCAGUAGGGAAGAAAAUGACGGUACCUGACUACGAAGCCCCGGCUAUCUACGUGCCAGCAGCCGCGGUAAUACGUAGGGAGCAAGCGUUAUCCGGAUGUACUGGGUGUAAAGGGAGCGUAGGCGGUUAUGCAAGUCAGAAGUGAAAGCCCGGGGCUCAACUCCGGGACUGCUUUUGAAACUGGGUUGCUAGAUUGCAGGAGAGGUAAGUGGAAUUCCUAGUGUAGCGGGUAAAUGCGUAGAUAUUACGAGGAACGCCAGUUGCGAAGGCGGCUUACUGGACUGUAAAUGACGCUGAGGCUCGAAAGCGUGGGGAGCAAACAGGAUUAGAUACCCUAGUAGUC